Molecule: ribosomal RNA, 510 nt
Filed under: uncultured bacterium
Lineage: Bacteria
Description: partial 16S ribosomal RNA
Rfam family: Bacterial small subunit ribosomal RNA
Source: RNAcentral
GACGAACGCUGGCGGCGUGCUUAACACAUGCAAGUCGAACGAAGAGCGAUGGAAGCUUGCUUCUAUCAAUCUUAGUGGCGAACGGGUGAGUAACGCGUAAUCAACCUGCCCUUCAGAGGGGGACAACAGUUGGAAACGACUGCUAAUACCGCAUACGAUCUAACCUCGGCAUCGAGGAUGGAUGAAAGGUGGCCUCUAUUUAUAAGCUAUCACUGAAGGAGGGGAUUGCGUCUGAUUAGCUAGUUGGAGGGGUAACGGCCCACCAAGGCGAUGAUCAGUAGCCGGUCUGAGAGGAUGGACGGCCACAUUGGGACUGAGACACGGCCCAGACUCCUACGGGAGGCAGCAGUGGGGAAUCUUCCGCAAUGGACGGAAGUCUGACGGAGCAACGCCGCGUGAGUGAUGACGGCCUUCGGGUUGGAAAGCUCUGUUAAUCGGGACGAAAGGCCUUCUUGCGAAUAGUUAGAAGGAUUGACGGUACCGGAAUAGAAAGCCACGGCUAACUACGUG